ACCGGGAAGAGCUCAGCGCAUAAGCUGGCGUCGGGAAAUCCUGGCGCUAGCGGUGUUGCGUUUCAGAGGGUCCGGCACGCAAUCUCUCGCCGCCUAAGUUAUGCUUGAAAGCAGCCACUACCCAUGGAGGGUGACAGGCCCGUUUGGCGGAUACUCGCGAGGGUGAUGGAGAGAUUGUCGGAAAGGGCCUCUCUGUAGAGUCGGGUUGCUUGAGAAUGCAGCCCUAAGCAGGUGGUAAACUCCAUCUAAGGCUAAAUAUGACCACGAGACCGAUAGCGAACAAGUACCGUGAGGGAAAGUUGAAAAGAACUUUGAAGAGAGAGUUCAAGAGUACGUGAAACCGUUAAGAGUCAAACGGGUGGGACCUCGAAGGUUGCUCCGAGACGAUUCAGGCCGUCGGCGUCGGCAUUGGCGCGGACCUCAUCACUGUGCUCAGGUGACUUUCUGAGCUUUGCGGUGAUGUUGCUGCCCGCGCCGCUUGCUGGCGUUGGCGGGCGUAAUUCCUCUACGGAUGCUAAAAUCGCCGCGACCCGUUGCUGGGGAUGUCUACGGCCCGUUUGGACUGGUACCCUGACGUGCUUAUGAGGCCUAACGAAAGGACGAAUCUGCCACGAAAGGGGAAACCUACGGUGUCCCGGCAACCCCGCGACGGUCGUGCAGCAGAGGGGGUGCGUAACCCGCGCCUCCUCUCGCGGCGUGCAAAAGGUCGGUGACCCACCCGACCCGUCUUGAAACACGGACCAAGGAGUCUAACAUGUGUGCGAGUCAUUGGGCGCACUAAACCCAAAGGCGCAAUGAAAGUAAAAUCAUAGGUGAGAAGUUGUUUCGACUCGCCGCCGUUGCUAUAUCUGCUGUUGGUCGUCGCCGCUGCCUGUAUUGGCGGAGGGUGGCGACAUGCGGAGGUGGCGCGGCGGAGUAUCAGAGUCGCCUUCUCACCUGUGGGCUGAUCCUUGACAGUGGCGUGUCAGGAGGUGGGGGUUCCUAUACCAAAGCAGAGUCCCGAUUGAUUUCGGAAGGGAGCGGGCGGAGUGAGUUAUUUUCCUCUGCCUUAGCUCCUGGCUCUGUGGGUGCCCGGUGCUUUCCUGAUUGCCCGUGUGGCGGUGAUGGUGGCGGUGGCCUAAACCACCACCAAUACCAUUACUGUCGCCAAAUCCUGUUCGCAGGGAGGCGCAAGCCGGGGACUUGCUUUAUGACUCGGGUGUUGUUGUGCGAGUAGUAGUCCGUUGCUGGCCUCCUGGAAACAGGGGGCCGAAGUGGACGACGACGAGCGCGACGCACUCGCUGUCGGCAAGUACCAUGAGCAUACAUGUUGGGACCCGAAAGAUGGUGAACUAUGCCUGGCCAGGAUGAAGCCAGAGGAAACUCUGGUGGAGGUCCGCAGCAAUUCUGACGUGCAAAUCGAUUGUCAGAGCUGGGUAUAGGGGCGAAAGACUAAUCGAACCAUCUAGUAGCUGGUUCCCUCCGAAGUUUCCCUCAGGAUAGCUGAUACUCUGGGAAAAGAAGGAUUUUCAUCUGGUAAAGCGAAUGAUUAGAGGUCUUGGGGACGAAACGUCCUCAACCUAUUCUCAAACUUUAAAUGGGUGAGACGCCGAGCUUGCUUAAAUGCUGAAGCUCUGGCGAUUAAUCUGAGUAUCUAGUGGGCCAAUUUUGGUAAGCAGAACUGGCGCUGUGGGAUGAACCAAACGUCGAGUUAAGGGGCCUAAAGGAAUGCUCAUCUAGACCCCAUGGAAAGGUGUUGGUUGCUAUAGACAGCAGGACGGUGGCCAUGGAAGUUGGAAUCCGCUAAGGAGUGUGUAACAACUCACCUGCCGAAGCAACUAGCCCUUAAAAUGGUAUGGCGCUCAAGCAUUCUCCCGAUACUCGACCGCCGGUGGCAUUACUGAUCAAGCUCUGUUGCUGUAACGGCGGCAGAGCCCAGAUCUCGAAGCCCCGGUGAGUAGGAGGGUCGCAGGGGUGAGCGUUGAAGGUAUCCGGCGUGAGCCGGGCUGGAGCCGCCCCUGGUGCAGAUCUUGGUGGUAGUAGCAAAUAGUCGAGAGAGACUUCCCUUGAAGGCCGAUGUGGAGAAGGGUUCCAUGUGAACAUCAGUUGAACAUGGGUUAGUCGGUCCUAAGCCCAAGGCUAACGCCUUAUCCCAUGCCUUAUGGGCAACGGCCAAGCGAGUCAAAGUGUUGCUGAGUGGUCAGCUUGACUCGAAUCGGUUUUUAGUGCAGUGUUGGGGCCUGACAAACCACACACUGCACUAGUUUGCCCGGGAGUUCGUUUGGCGAAAGGGAAUACGGUAAAUAUUCCGUAACCAGGCCUGGACCGCGCCAGAGUGCCGGCUGCUGACUUCCUCACGGGGGUUGCAGCUGGCCUCUGGGGUUGCAGGGUCCCGGCAACGGGAACCUACUCGCGUCCAUCGGCAGUGGUCCGGGAAAGAGUUUUCUUUUCUGUUUAAGGCGCCGUGACCCUGGAAACCACUCGCAGAGAGAAAGGGUACUGGUAACACGGUAUGCCGUAGAGCGCCGCGGGUCUUGCGGCGUCCCGCGUACCACUGCCGGUCCGUGAAACAUGCGAGCAUGGUAACUGCAUGGGGCUGAAGUCGGCUUAGUCGGUGAGACGCUGUCGCUGGCCACUACUGAAUGACUAACAACCCUCACGGGAAGUAGGUCGGACGGUUGUUGGUUUGGUGAUGGCCCUCUCGGUUAAUGUCGUCCACCCCAGUUUCAGGCCUGUCCGUACCCAUAUC
Molecule: ribosomal RNA, 2728 nt
Filed under: Ethusa sp. AT-2008
Lineage: Eukaryota; Metazoa; Arthropoda; Malacostraca; Decapoda; Dorippidae
Description: eukaryotic LSU rRNA
Rfam family: Eukaryotic large subunit ribosomal RNA
Source: RNAcentral